GCAGCAGUGGGGAAUAUUGGACAAUGGGCGGAAGCCUGAUCCAGCCAUGCCGCGUGUGUGAAGAAGGCCUUUUGGUUGUAAAGCACUUUAAGCGAGGAGGAGGCUCCUUUAGUUAAUACCUAAAGUGAGUGGACGUUACUCGCAGAAUAAGCACCGGCUAACUCUGUGCCAGCAGCCGCGGUAAUACAGAGGGUGCGAGCGUUAAUCGGAUUUACUGGGCGUAAAGCGUGCGUAGGCGGCUUUUUAAGUCGGAUGUGAAAUCCCUGAGCUUAACUUAGGAAUUGCAUUCGAUACUGGAAAGCUAGAGUAUGGGAGAGGAUGGUAGAAUUCCAGGUGUAGCGGUGAAAUGCGUAGAGAUCUGGNAGNGAAUACCGAUGGCGAAGGCAGCCAUCUGGCCUAAUACUGACGCUGAGGUACGAAAGCAUGGGGAGCAAACAGGAUUAGAUACCCUGGUAGUCCAUGCCGUAAACGAUGUCUACUAGCCGUUGGGGCCUUUGAGGCUUUAGUGGCGCAGCUAACGCGAUAAGUAGACCGCCUGGGGAGUACGGUCGCANAGNACNUANAAACUCNANAAUGAAUUGACGGGGGCCCGCACAAGCGGUGGAGCAUGUGGUUUAAUUCGAUGCAACGCGAAGAACCUUACCUGGCCUUGACAUACUAAGAACUUUCCAGAGAUGGAUUGGUGCCUUCGGGAACUUAGAUACAGGUGCUGCAUGGCUGUCGUCAGCUCGUGUCGUGAGAUGUUGGGUUAAGUCCCGCAACGAGCGCAACCCUUUUCCUUAUUUGCCAUCGGGUAAUGCCGGGAACUUUAAGGAUACUGCCAGUGACAAACUGGAGGAAGGCGGGGACGACGUCAAGUCAUCAUGGCCCUUACGGCCAGGGCUACACACGUGCUACAAUGGUCGGUACAAAGGGUUGCUACCUCGCGAGAGGAUGCUAAUCUCAAAAAGCCGAUCGUAGUCCGGAUCGCAGUCUGCAACUCGACUGCGUGAAGUCGGAAUCGCUAGUAAUCGCGGAUCAGAAUGCCGCGGUGAAUACGUUCCCG
RNAcentral lists this ribosomal RNA (1045 nucleotides) under uncultured Acinetobacter sp. Its description in RNAcentral is "bacterial SSU rRNA". It matches the Rfam family "Bacterial small subunit ribosomal RNA", at positions 348 to 1376 of the family's 1533-position model. Lineage: Bacteria; Pseudomonadati; Pseudomonadota; Gammaproteobacteria; Moraxellales; Moraxellaceae. The record is from RNAcentral.